RNAcentral lists this long non-coding RNA (369 nucleotides) under Rattus norvegicus (Norway rat). Its description in RNAcentral is "long non-coding RNA NONRATT012206". The record is from RNAcentral. Lineage: Eukaryota; Metazoa; Chordata; Mammalia; Rodentia; Muridae.
UCCCCAGACAGCCAUCACCCCUGAUCCAAGUCAUGAGAUGAGCCUUAGACGGAGACCGCAACAUGUAUCUUUUGAGCACUCUCCCUCGGCUCCAGAGAACCUUAGUUCUGUUCAGGCUCCCCUCGCAUGAAGGUACGUCCUAUACCCCCCCGCUCCCCACAUCUGCCACAGGCAUGGUGACUUUUCACCUGAACCUUCUGUAGAAAGGGUGAAGGAAAAAAGCUCCCACGAUGGAAUCUAGUCUUUGUUUAAAGUUUUGUUUUUGUUUUUUUUUUUUUUUUUUUUUUUGAAAAUACUUUCAGAGCCAUACACCCUGUGAUGAGAAUUAAUCUAUUUAACAAAACCAAGAAUAAAUGUUUUUUUUUUCUG